RNAcentral lists this transfer RNA (76 nucleotides) under Mycoplasmopsis canis. RNAcentral's name for it is "Mycoplasma canis tRNA-Thr". It matches the Rfam family "tRNA". From Rfam's summary of the family: Transfer RNA (tRNA) molecules are approximately 80 nucleotides in length. Their secondary structure includes four short double-helical elements and three loops (D, anti-codon, and T loops). The record is from RNAcentral. Lineage: Bacteria; Bacillati; Mycoplasmatota; Mycoplasmoidales; Metamycoplasmataceae. RNAcentral also lists the same sequence under 1 other name.
GCACCUUUAGCUCAGUAGGUAGAGCAGUUGACUCGUAAUCAACAGGCCGCAGGUUCGAUCCCUGUAAGGUGCACCA